This 135-nucleotide small RNA is filed under the name Leishmania tropica. Its description in RNAcentral is "partial 7SL RNA". Lineage: Eukaryota; Euglenozoa; Kinetoplastea; Trypanosomatida; Trypanosomatidae. The record is from RNAcentral.
UGCUCUGUAACCUUCGGGGGCUAAUCAGGCUCAGCGGGGAGGACGUGGACCAGCGAGGGUGAUUUGCUGCGUUGACGUGGUGCUCUGCUUGGCUGUGUGUCGGUGUGGCCCGCCCCCUGCAGAGGGUGUGCAGAG